Cannabis sativa is the source of this 1284-nucleotide long non-coding RNA. RefSeq lists it as uncharacterized. NCBI's taxonomy places the organism in Eukaryota, Viridiplantae, Streptophyta, Magnoliopsida, Rosales, Cannabaceae. The record is from RefSeq and is a predicted model, not a curated record. The transcript has 7 exons.
AAAAUCCAAAAUUUUCCCUCUAUAUUCAGUUGAGCCUUCUAUCGCAUAAUUACAUAUCUCUCUGUCUUCUUCCCCAAAUCAAACUCUCUAUCAGCUUUCUCUCACAACCUCAGCUCACCGACUCUCCCUAUCCUCACCCUGACAGACUAAACCCAACCCUAACCUCUGAUUCACAGCCAACGGCGACGGUGGCCCAACCCCAACUCCUACCUCUAUCGGUGACUCCAACCCCAUUCAAAUCCUAAACGAACCAAAGAGGUUCAUUUUCUCACAGCCAUUUCGCACCAUCUCUGGCCCUCUUAGAUCAAUUUUGCACCCAGCCCGUGUGCGCCGUCUCUUAGCCCUGCUGAUGCGAGUACAAUAAUUGUUUCUUGUUUUGAAGAUUGAGGUUAAAUUCCUCCAGAUCACCUCAGUAGUAAAUGACCCCUGUUCGAUGCUUUAUUGGGUUCAAGAUUCAGUAAGUGCUUCAGUUUCAUAACCGAUGGUGGUGGCUGCGACGCCUUCAGGGCACCAAGGGAAUGAUUGAGGUAUUUUGAGCAGAACAACUGUAUUUGUUAUGGAGUUAAUGCUCAUAAUAAGGAUAGCCUCAGGCAGUUUUUGAACUUCUUACAAGCUCGAGUUAGAGAAUUGAGGAAGAAAGAUAAUUCUUUUAGACAAUAUUGUUAUUGGUUGGGAUUCUUAGUGUUGGUAAAUCAGCUCUUGCUAACUCUUUGCAUCAAAUUGGGAGGACAAGUGCAGCAGAGAGAGAGAGAUUUAAGCAUGUUAAAGAGAGUCCACAGCCUGGUGACAAAAGAUAUCAGCAGCUUAAAUGUGGAAAGUGAAUCUGAUCUAAAAGGAACAAGAAGUGGCAAAUCAGAAACGAGUCCUCUAAAUCUGCUCAAUACAAGUGUUGACUUUGACAAUAGAAAUACAAUAUGAUUGUGGACUUGUGGUGCUUAGACAUCAUCUUUCAAUGUGACUCCCAAUAAGCACUUCAAGCAAUACUAGCAUCACAAAUCAUGCCUACAGAUCCUCACAGAAUGUUUUAACAGUUUGAGGGCAGGUGCCUUCACAUUUUUUUUGUUUGGUUAUUGUAUUGCUAGUUUCUUUGUUGUUCAUUUAAUUUAGUUUGUACUGGGUAGCUUAUUUUAUUUUUCUUGUUGGUAACUCUGAUUCAUUGAGUUUGCUGUUUUAGUGUUUAUGGGCAAAGUACAAUUCAAGGAUUAUAUUGUAAUUGAAAUUUUUAUGAUUGACAUUGUAAUUUUUUAUGUAAUGAAUAAAUCUGUAUAAUAAUAUUUAAAUAUA